UGUCUCUGCCUCCAGUGCAUUUAGCCGAGAAAAUCUCUCGCCUUUUACCAAAGAUUUCCGUGCACUGGAGCAAUCAUGGGUAUACCCCAGCUUUUGGAAUCCCCCCGGGAGAGCGGGGC
This 119-nucleotide small nuclear RNA is filed under the name Angiostrongylus costaricensis. RNAcentral's name for it is "U5 spliceosomal RNA". It matches the Rfam family "U5 spliceosomal RNA". From Rfam's summary of the family: U5 RNA is a component of both types of known spliceosome. Lineage: Eukaryota; Metazoa; Nematoda; Chromadorea; Rhabditida; Metastrongylidae. The record is from Rfam by way of RNAcentral.